UUAUUGAUUAAUAAUUUUAAGUCAAAUCUGCUCAAUGAAUUUUUAUUUAAAUAGCUGCAGUAUAAAUAACUGUACAAAGGUAGCAUAAUAAUUAGUUUUUUAAUUAAAAAGUUGAAUGAAUGAUUUAAUGAAAUAUAAACUGUAUCAAAUUUAAUAAAUAAAUUUAUUUUUUAAAUUAAAAAAUUUAAAUAAUUUUUAAAGACGAGAAGACCCUAAAGAAUUUUAAUAAUUUUUUUUUUAAAAAAUUUAAUUAUUUUAAUUGGGGAAAUUUUAAAAUUUAAUUAAUUUUUAAUUAACUUAAACAUUUAUUUUUGAAUAAAUUUUUUUUUUUAAAAAUAAAAUUUAAAUUACCUUAGGGAUAACAGCAUAAUUUUUUUAAAAAGUUCAAAUUUAUAAAAAAGUUUAU
RNAcentral lists this ribosomal RNA (406 nucleotides) under Glyptapanteles indiensis. RNAcentral's name for it is "partial 16S large subunit ribosomal RNA". The record is from RNAcentral. Lineage: Eukaryota; Metazoa; Arthropoda; Insecta; Hymenoptera; Braconidae.